Molecule: transfer RNA, 72 nt
Filed under: Chaca bankanensis (angler catfish)
Lineage: Eukaryota; Metazoa; Chordata; Actinopteri; Siluriformes; Chacidae
Description: tRNA-Arg
Rfam family: tRNA
About the family: Transfer RNA (tRNA) molecules are approximately 80 nucleotides in length.
Source: RNAcentral
AGAGAGUUAGUCCAAUAAACAAGACCAUUGAUUUCGACUCAAACAAUCACGGCUUAAAUCCGUGACUCUCUU